GAACGAGACCUUCGGGUCUAGUGGCGCACGGGUGCGUAACGCGUGGGAAUCUGCCCUUGGGUUCGGAAUAACAGUUAGAAAUGACUGCUAAUACCGGAUGAUGACGUAAGUCCAAAGAUUUAUCGCCCAAGGAUGAGCCCGCGUAGGAUUAGCUAGUUGGUAAGGUAAAAGCUUACCAAGGCGACGAUCCUUAGCUGGUCUGAGAGGAUGAUCAGCCACACUGGGACUGAGACACGGCCCAGACUCCUACGGGAGGCAGCAGUGGGGAAUAUUGGACAAUGGGCGAAAGCCUGAUCCAGCAAUGCCGCGUGAGUGAUGAACGCCUUAGGGUUGUAAAGCUCUUUUACCCGGGAUGAUAAUGACAGUACCGGGAGAAUAAGCUCCGGCUAACUCCGUG
RNAcentral lists this ribosomal RNA (397 nucleotides) under uncultured bacterium. Its description in RNAcentral is "bacterial SSU rRNA". It matches the Rfam family "Bacterial small subunit ribosomal RNA", at positions 64 to 507 of the family's 1533-position model. The record is from RNAcentral.